RNAcentral lists this ribosomal RNA (694 nucleotides) under uncultured rumen bacterium. RNAcentral's name for it is "bacterial SSU rRNA". It matches the Rfam family "Bacterial small subunit ribosomal RNA", at positions 72 to 749 of the family's 1533-position model. The record is from RNAcentral.
UUGAAAGCUUGCUUUUGAUGAGCCUAGUGGCAAACGGGUGAGUAACGCGUAGGCAACCUGCCCUCAGGAUGGGGACAACGGCCCGAAAGGACCGCUAAUACCGAAUGAAGUGUCGGAAUCGCAUGAUACUGAUACCAAAGGCGGAGCAAUCCGUCACCUGAGGAUGGGCCUGCGUCUGAUUAGGUAGUUGGUGAGGUAACGGCCCACCAAGCCGACGAUCAGUAGCCGGUCUGAGAGGAUGAACGGCCACAUUGGGACUGAGACACGGCCCAGACUCCUACGGGAGGCAGCAGUGGGGAAUCUUCCGCAAUGGGCGAAAGCCUGACGGAGCAACGCCGCGUGAGUGAAGAAGGUCUUCGGAUCGUAAAGCUCUGUUGUCGGGGACGAAGGGGCAGAUCAGGAAAUGGGUCUGCUUAGACGGUACCUGACGAGGAAGCCACGGCUAACUACGUGCCAGCAGCCGCGGUAAUACGUAGGCGGCAAGCGUUGUCCGGAAUCAUUGGGCGUAAAGGGAGCGCAGGUGGGACGGUAAGUCUUUCUUAAAAGUGCGGGGCUCACCCCCGUGAGGGGAAAGAAACUAUCGUUCUUGAGUGCAGGAGAGGAAAGCGGAAUUCCUAGUGUAGCGGUGAAAUGCGUAGAUAUUAGGAAGAACACCAGUGGCGAAGGCGGCUUUCUGGACUGUAACUGACACUGA